UACGGAGGGUGCAAGCGUUAAUCGGAAUUACUGGGCGUAAAGCGUGCGCAGGCGGUUUGUUAAGUCCGUUGUGAAAGCCCCGAGCUCAACUUGGGAAUUGCAGUGGAUACUGGCAGGCUGGAGUACGGUAGAGGAAGGUGGAAUUCCCGGUGUAGCAGUGAAAUGCGUAGAUAUCGGGAGGAACACCUGUGGCGAAAGCGGCUCACUGGACCACAACUGACGCUGAUGCACGAAAGCUAGGGGAGCAAACAGG
RNAcentral lists this ribosomal RNA (253 nucleotides) under uncultured bacterium. RNAcentral describes it as "partial 16S ribosomal RNA". It matches the Rfam family "Bacterial small subunit ribosomal RNA", at positions 524 to 776 of the family's 1533-position model. The record is from RNAcentral.